RNAcentral lists this ribosomal RNA (92 nucleotides) under Mammaliicoccus vitulinus. RNAcentral describes it as "Staphylococcus vitulinus partial 16S ribosomal RNA". It matches the Rfam family "Bacterial small subunit ribosomal RNA", at positions 1 to 89 of the family's 1533-position model. RNAcentral also lists the same sequence under 1 other name. Lineage: Bacteria; Bacillati; Bacillota; Bacilli; Caryophanales; Staphylococcaceae. The record is from RNAcentral.
AUUAUGGAGAGUUUGAUCCUGGCUCAGGAUGAACGCUGGCGGCGUGCCUAAUACAUGCAAGUCGAGCGAACAGAUGAGAAGCUUGCUUCUCU